This 3378-nucleotide ribosomal RNA is filed under the name Triticum aestivum (bread wheat). RNAcentral describes it as "partial small subunit ribosomal RNA". The record is from RNAcentral. Lineage: Eukaryota; Viridiplantae; Streptophyta; Magnoliopsida; Poales; Poaceae.
AUGCAAACACUAGGCAGCAAAAUGGGACCUUUGUUCUACCUCUGCAUGGUGCUCAUGCUGCCAUGCCUCCUUCCACUGCAAGAAGCACAUGCCGUGCGCCAUGGAGGGAUCUCUCUGAGGUCUCAACACAUGGCCCUCCUCCACUGGAAAGCAACACUUGCAAGCCCACCGCUGCAGAUGAGUUCUUGGCAGGAAAACACCAGCCCCUGCAACUGGACGGGCAUCAUGUGCACGGCUAUUCCACAUGGCCGCCGCAUGCCCUGGGUGGUGACCAACAUCUCCCUGCCAGAUGCUGGCAUCCAUGGCCAGCUUGGUGAGCUCAACUUCUCAGCUCUUCCAUUCCUCACAUAUAUUGACCUUCAUAACAAUAGUCUCCAUGGUGCACUACCCGCUAGUAUCAGCUCCCUGUCUGCACUUUCGAAACUUACCCUUCAGCAGAACCAGUUCUCAGGGAAAAUUCCUCAUGAGAUUGGUGACCUGCAAAGUCUCAUGUUGCUUGCUCUCUCAUUCAACAGACUCACGGGACAUAUCCCUGCGUCUCUGGGUAACCUAACAAUGUUAACUGAACUUGUCAUUCACCAAAACAUGAUAUCAGGUCCCAUUCCCGAGGACAUUGGAAGGCUUGUCAACCUACAACUUCUGCAGCUAAGCAACAACACCAUAAGCGGCAUGAUACCAAAAAUCGUUGGAAAUAUGACCCAACUGAAUGUUUUGGACCUGUAUGGUAAUCAACUUUCAGGGCCUAUACCCCAAGAACUAGGCACGCUAGUCCAUCUACGAAGUCUUGAUCUUAGUUCAAAUGAUUUUUCAGGUCCAAUUCCAAUCUCCAUAAGCAAUCUCACUAAGAUGAACCGACUUUUUCUCCAUGAAAAUCAAAUCAUAGGUCUAAUACCACCAGAACUAGGCAACCUCGCCAUGCUAAGCCAACUUGCUCUCUGCACAAAUCAAAUAACAGGUUCAAUACCCCCAGAACUAGGGAAUCUCACUAUGCUCAAUCUACUUGUUCUAUAUAGAAAUCAAAUUACAGGCCCAAUACCUUUAGAAUUGGGCCACUUGCUGAAUCUCCAGGAUUUAGAAUUGGAUGAGAACCAAAUAUCUGGCUCUAUUCCUGGCAGCUUAGGAAAUAUAACCAAGCUAGUACGACUUGCCCUCGCUACAAAUCAGAUAAGCGGUUCCAUCCCCCAGGAAAUUGGCAAUCUGAUGAACCUAAAAUAUUUAUCCUUGCCUCAGAACCAAAUUAUAGGUUCAAUACCAAAAACUUUUGGGAAGUUGCAAAGUAUCCAAUCAAUAAAACUCUUUGAUAACAAAUUAUCAGGUGCUCUUCCUAAAGAAUUAGGAGAUCUCACCAACCUUGUUGAACUUGCAGUGUCUAACAACUCACUUUCAGGACCUUUACCCACAAAUAUAUGUUCAGGUGGGAGACUUCAACAUCUCACUGUUCAUUAUAAUAUGUUUAGUGGACCCAUUCCAAGGAGUUUAAAGACAUGUACGAGUUUGGUUAAAAUUAUCCUUCAGAAAACCCAACUAACAGGAGAUAUAUCUCACGAUUUCGGUGUGUAUCCACAACUCAUAUGGAUGAUCUUGUCAUCGACUAGACUCUCUGGGCAGAUCCCACAAAGUUUAGGUGCAUGUACCCAACUAACGGUACUACAUCUCCAAAAAAAUAACAUCACUGGUUCCAUACCUCCAAUCCUUUCAAAAUUGUCCAGACUAGAAGAACUAAGACUCGACUCUAAUCAUCUCAGUGGUGAGAUUCCACCAGAAAUCUACACUUUAGCAAACCUAUAUGGACUGAACUUGUCAUCAAACCAACUAUCUGGAUCCAUACCUACACAGAUAGAAAAGCUUGGCAAUCUAGGAUACCUUGAUAUAUCUAUGAAUAAACUGAGUGGAUCAAUACCUGAGGAACUAGGGACCAUGAAACUACAGUCCUUGAAGAUCAACAACAACAACUUCAGUGGGAGUUUGCCAGAUGCGAUUGGAAAUUUAGCAGGCCUACAGACCAUGUUAGAUGUCAGCAACAAUAAUCUCAGUGGUGUGUUGCCGCAACAACUUGGGAAGUUGGAGAUGCUAGAAUUUCUGAAUUUAUCACAUAAUCAGUUUGGUGGCAGCAUUCCAUCCUCCUUCUCAAGCAUGUUGAGCCUUUCAACACUCGAUGUGUCGUACAAUGACUUGGAAGGACCAGUACCAACAACACGGCUACUCCAAAAUGCUUCAACAAGUUGGUUUCUUCACAAUAAAGGUCUAUGCGGUAACCUCUCUGGCUUGCCUCCUUGUUAUUCAACUCCAGUAGCUGGUCACCAUAAACGAAAGAUACUUGGUUUGCUUUUGCCAAUUCUUCUUGUUGUGGGUUUGAGCAUUGUUGCUGCAGUUGUUGUCAUAAUAAUGCUUAAUCGUAACAAGAGAAAACCUCAAGAAAAUGUUACUUCUCAAGGAAGGGACCUAUUCUCUGUUUGGAAUUUUGAUGGAAGAUUAGCAUUUGACGACAUUGUAAGGGCAACAGAGGACUUCGAUGAUAAGUACAUCAUUGGAACAGGAGGAUACGGCAAAGUCUAUAAGGCACGACUCCAAGACGGGCAGCUAGUUGCUGUAAAGAAGCUUUAUCAGACUGAAGAAGAGUUGGAUGACCAGAGAAGGUUUCACAGUGAAAUGGAAAUCUUAUCACAGAUCCGACAACGAAGUAUUGUCAAAAUGUAUGGAUUCUGCUCCCAUCCAGCAUAUAAAUUUCUUGUCUAUGACUACAUUCAGCAGGGAAGCCUGCACAGGACAUUGGAAAAUGAGGAACUAGCAACGGAACUAGAUUGGCACAAGAGAAUUGCUCUUGCAAAUGAUGUGGCUCAAGCAAUAUCUUAUUUGCACCACGAAUGCAGUCCACCUAUAAUCCAUCGAGAUAUCACGAGCAACAACAUCUUACUUGAUACAACCUUCAAGGCUUUUGUCUCGGAUUUCGGCACAGCAAGGAUUCUUAAGCCCGAUUCAUCAAACUGGAGUGCACUUGCAGGAACGUAUGGCUACAUAGCUCCUGAAUUGUCGUACACAUCUGUUGUGACAGAGAAAUGCGAUGUCUAUAGCUUUGGAGUGGUUGUGCUAGAGCUAGUGAUGGGGAAGCAUCCAAGAGAUCUAUUAGAUGUUACUUUCUCAAACGGAGAACAAGUCAUACUGGUGAAAGAUAUCCUGGAUCAACGACUGACAACACCAACAACAGAAGAGAAUAGGUUAUCUCUGCUCGUCAAGCUGGCCUUUUCUUGCUUGGAAUCUUCUCCACAAGCAAGGCCAAGCAUGCGGGAGGCAUACCAAAUGCUCAUGGAGCGACCCUCCUCCAGUUCAUGUUCUGUGCCUUUCAGCGCACUUACGUUACAACAAGUAAGGAUGAGUUGA